This is a long non-coding RNA of Triticum aestivum (bread wheat), 567 nucleotides long. RefSeq lists it as uncharacterized. The record is from RefSeq and is a predicted model, not a curated record. Lineage: Eukaryota; Viridiplantae; Streptophyta; Magnoliopsida; Poales; Poaceae. The transcript is spliced from 5 exons.
UGAGUUCGUACGCUGGACGGCCCAAGGAGGCUACCAAGUCCAUACAACCACUGCUUCAAAAGGCCAACAGCGUCGUGCCUCAGAGGCUUAUGAAAACGACUCCCGUUAAACUUGGGGCGACGGCCGGACUCAGGCUGAUCGGAGAUAAGCAGGCAAAGCAGAUACUUGACGCGGUCAGGGGCGCUGUCCACACUAACACCAAGUUCAGUACAAUCCCAAGUGGAUCAAUGUUCUCGAGGGAUCUCAGGAAGGAUCCUACCUAUGGGUCGCUCUGAAUUACCUGCUGGAUAAGUUGGGAGGAGACUACUCGAAAAUGGUAGGUGUGAUUGAUCUUGGAGGUGGGUCUGUGCAAAUGGCAUAUGCCAUUUCUCCUGACGCUGCUGCUGCCGCACCACGAGUGCCUCACGGCAAGGAUCCUUAUGUUACAAAAGAGUAUCUCAAGGGAAGAGAUUACAACGUUUAUGUUCACAGCUACUUACGCUACGGCGCCUUAGCUUCUCGUGUAGAGAUCUUCAAGGCUAAGGAAGGACCAUUUAGCUACUGCAUGCUUCGUGGCUUCAGUGGUAA